AUUGAACGCUGGCGGCAUGCCUUACACAUGCAAGUCGAACGGCAGCACGGGAGCAAUCCUGGUGGCGAGUGGCGAACGGGUGAGUAAAGUAUCGGAACGUGCCCAGUCGUGGGGGAUAACGUAGCGAAAGUUACGCUAAUACCGCAUACGAUCUAUGGAUGAAAGCGGGGGAUCGCAAGACCUCGCGCGAUUGGAGCGGCCGACAUCAGAUUAGGUAGUUGGUGGGGUAAAGGCUCACCAAGCCGACGAUCUGUAGCUGGUCUGAGAGGACGACCAGCCACACUGGGACUGAGACACGGCCCAGACUCCGACGGGAGGCAGCAGUGGGGAAUUUUGGACAAUGGGCGAAAGCCUGAUCCAGCCAUGCCGCGUGCAGGAUGAAGGCCUUCGGGUUGUAAACUGCUUUUGUACGGAACGAAAAGGUUUGGCCUAAUAAGCUGAGCUCAUGACGGUACCGUAAGAAUAAGCACCGGCUAGCUACGUGCCGGCCGCCGCCGUAA
This 500-nucleotide ribosomal RNA is filed under the name uncultured bacterium. Its description in RNAcentral is "partial 16S ribosomal RNA". It matches the Rfam family "Bacterial small subunit ribosomal RNA", at positions 30 to 523 of the family's 1533-position model. The record is from RNAcentral.